Numida meleagris (helmeted guineafowl) is the source of this 3319-nucleotide long non-coding RNA. RefSeq lists it as uncharacterized. Lineage: Eukaryota; Metazoa; Chordata; Aves; Galliformes; Numididae. The record is from RefSeq and is a predicted model, not a curated record. The transcript is spliced from 5 exons.
UUCUCUGUGACAGUGGUGUUGGGAACUGUUCUACUUGCAGGAAUGGAACUUGGAACUCACCACGUGAGAAGAGAUCCCGAAGUGAUGAGGCAGCAUAUUUCCUAUGCUCGAUGUCAGGAUUUGUUCUGUGAAACUGACCUUCACAACGCCCUGAAAAUGAGGAACAUGGUACCAGAGAACAGAGCAGGAAGCAUGAAAUGGUGUUUAGCAUUGUUAGAGCGUCAGGAUUAAGAAACAGCCAAAAACUUACUUAAAUAUGCCACAAAGUGGAGAUUCAAAUGACUGGUUCACUGAAUGUCAUGUGGGGUGGUUGCACACUAUGUAUAGAGAGUUAGGUGCAUCAAAAGAGCAGAACCUGACUGCACAAGGACCUUCUUGAACCACCCAGCAGAGACGAUGAGCCUGGAAAAGGGAUUCGCACAGGUUCUAGAUCCUCUAUUCCAGAUGCCCAACAGCACAGGUGGACAAAGUCCUACCUUUGUGCUUUGGGCGCAUUGGAUCAGCCUCAAGUGCUCACAAAGCUGAAUGAUAAUUGACUGGGCAGACGCCCGCCGAGCUCUCCCAGCUCCCGGCGCUGUGCCACGUGCUCGUGCAGCUUUUUAUUACUUAGGGAAUGCGUUGCAGUAAGAAGAGCUACUGAGCCUCAGAAAAAAAAGGUGCGAUUCAUGUGAACCUGCCUGCUUGGUGUCAUUGAAACACAACAUUUGAGAGAGAACGUUGCUGUUGCUUGCGAGUUGGCAUGGGAAGAGGAGAGAUCCCGACGCAUGGUGGAGCUAGAUGAUGGCGUAUGAGGCGUCCGGCCUCCAACCGGCGGACUCCGUAGCGCAAAGCGCUGGAAAACCUCUCUGUCUCACUCUCAGAAGUUUCUAUAGCAAUCACUGCUGUCGUAGUGAAGCACUGAAAAUGGUGAACCAUUCAGAUUGUAAUUUUGCUGGACAGUAGUCACUCCUCUCUCCGUUGGGCUCUGAAAUUUCACUUUUCGUGAGAUACACAACUGGAGGAGAGCGGUCUUCAGCCCGUGUCUGUAACAAGCCUUGUCCCCCCGCACCCCGAAUGACGGUGUUAGCUGUGUGCAGUGCCUGAAUAUCGGCCAGCAGGACCUGGACCGGGCGCUUGCUCCCUCUGCUCCAGGACAGGCCUUACGUGAGCGAUGUUCUUAACAAGGCGGCAGGAAAGAAACAACCCGCCGACACGUCAUCGUGUGACCUGAACGUCAUCCAUCACUGGAGGUAGAACAAACGAGUUACACAAGUGCGUUUGGCUUUACUAAUUGUCAAAGAACAGAGGAUACAAAGGGAGCUUUCUCUUCGUGUCAGCGAGCUUACUUUCCUUGGUUCAUUUAACUUUAGCUUAAACAAUCACUUGAUCUUUUGUUGCGUGCUUCAUCUUCCGGCGGCUGUGAUCUCUCUUAAUUACCGUGACGUUCAAGAACCGUGCACUAAAAAUAUAUUAAGCAACAGAACUGAAGCGCUUGCUUUCUGCACCGAGAGGAUGUGCCAGAUUUAUACCGUAGCUUCUGAAGGAACUGAUCGACCAUUUCCUAAGCUCUUCUAAUAAUCUUUUCCUACACUUUUAUGGCUAUUGUUGCCCACUGGAAAAAUUAGCGUAAAGCUGAGUAAGGGGAAUUGCGGAUAAGUGUUUGUAAUUUGGCUUUGGACUAACACAGUGUGAUUGCACUGAAAGAAUUUGAAAUCUUUGCACUGGCAGCGGUACUCGAAUCCAGGAAUAUAGGAUUCGCAUUGGAAAAGAGUGGAUUUUUAUAACGAUUUAAAUGAACAAUUUCAGCUAGAGAGUGGAUUAACGGAGCCAACUAAACCCUUCACCCUGACAAAGAACUGGCGGGAGAACUAUAGAAACCCAUCCAAAAUUUUACCAACAUGAAUGCAGAGUAAUAGGUCAGUGAGAAGCAUUUCUGUGUUUUAAUGACGCUCUUAGAAUUCAAUUCAAUUUGAAACAAAAGUUGUUUUACAAAUAUGAGGAGAAUGCAGAAGGCUGGAGAGGGAGUGAGUGGCCCGCAUCCCCCAUCUGCUCUGUCCUCCCUCUGCUCUCACACGACGAGCUGCCACCGCAAGUCCUGCUUCUUAGCAAACAGGAGGGAAAACACAGGCGCUGCUGUAGCCAAAGGGUCAGAAACAUCUCCCACUUUGCAGGGCCAUGGAUGCUCCCGCUGUUCUGCUGCUUCACUGCCUGCACUGAGAGGAGCAGUGCUGUGCUUCACAGCAGAACCUCCAGAAGGAUGUGAUGUUACAGGAGACGAAACACGGGGAGGAUGCAGCCUCCAGCUUCGCGCGCCUUGGUGAAUCUCUAAUGUGCUAUGGAGAAGCUUCCAGAUGAUGUUCAUCACUGGAUACUGGCAGAGUCCUGCCAGCUCCUCCUGUGCUGAAGUGUGCGUGCAGACAGGGAGGUGCAAGAGGAAGCCAUGACCACUUCUCAAUUGAAAUGUUCUGCUUUGCAGCCUGGCCAGUACAGGAUCGCCAGUCUGGCUCAGAGCAGAACCGCAGCAGAGCAGUUUUGCUCUGAGCUGGCCCCAGUGUUCACCCAAGCAGGAUGCUUUGCAAAUCCAUUUUACUAGUUUAAAAAGUAGAGAUCAACCGUUUUGCACAAGCCGUGAUUUCAAGAUGAAGAAUGUUUCCCAACCUAUGUCAACAGACACAUCGGGCUUAUGCUCUUCCUUCUUCAUCACAUGUUCCAAGCUGUGCAAAGCCCAUCACCAACCACAGAACUAAUUGGCUGAUAGUGAAAGCAGCUCUUAAGCAAUAUGUCAACCCCAUACUAGCAGAAGAAAGAGCAUUUUAAUUGUGGUUCGCGCUGAGAUGGAGCACCCAACCCUCAGGCUGCUGGAGAAGAGAGAGAUGUGGAAAAAAGGGUUUCUAAGACAGAAACGAGAGCCCGCCAGGGCCAGGCUGCCGGCAGCAGUAACAGAGGAGGACAAGCCUGAAUCUGUUCAGAACACGUACCAAAAAAUAGUGGGAACAAUAAGGGAAAUGCUUAUAAAAUCUGGAUUUAUUACUUUUUUCUGUAUUACAACAUCACUUAUUUUCAAAUAACAGAAGGAUUUAACAGGGCUCAUUUAUAUAUUAGUCUCAAAAUUAUAUAUUGUAAAAAAUUCUCAGUAUCCAUUAAAAUGAAAAUCCCAACAAAAUUUACAAAGCUGCUGUAGUUCACAAGUACAGGAGCUAAUGUUGUAAUGAAAUGUAAAGACAACCUGUCCUUACAGGUGGAAGAAAAACAACCUGAAUUGCUUAGGGUUUUAAUCACAUCACUCUUCUUUUUUCUUUAAAAUAGUUAUGUUGUACAAAAAAAAAAAAAAAAAAUUACU